GAUGCGACCUCAGCUCAGGCGGGGCUACCCGCUGAGUUUAAGCAUAUCAAUAAGCGGAGGAAAAGAAAC
Molecule: ribosomal RNA, 69 nt
Filed under: Scorodophloeus zenkeri
Lineage: Eukaryota; Viridiplantae; Streptophyta; Magnoliopsida; Fabales; Fabaceae
Description: partial 26S ribosomal RNA
Rfam family: Eukaryotic large subunit ribosomal RNA
Source: RNAcentral